This 424-nucleotide ribosomal RNA is filed under the name uncultured bacterium. RNAcentral describes it as "partial 16S ribosomal RNA". It matches the Rfam family "Bacterial small subunit ribosomal RNA", at positions 359 to 774 of the family's 1533-position model. The record is from RNAcentral.
GAAUAUUGGACAAUGGGGGGAACCCUGAUCCAGCCAUGCCGCGUGUGUGAAGAAGGCCUUUUGGUUGUAAAGCACUUUACGCGAUGAGGAGGAGCCCUUGGCUAAUACCCAAGAUGCUUGGAAGUUACCCGCAGAACAAUCCCCGGCCAACUCUGUGCCACCAGCCGCGGUAAUACAGAGGGUGCAAGCGUUAAUCGGAUUUACUGGGCGUAAAGCGCGCGUAGGUGGCCAAUUAAGUCAAAUGUGAAAUCCCCGAGCUCACCUUGGGAAGUGCAUUCGAUACUGGUUGGCUAGAGUAUGGGAGAGGAUGGUAGAAUUCCAGGUGUAGCGGUGAAAUGCGUAGAGAUCUGGAGGAAUACCGAUGGCGAAGGCAGCCAUCUGGCCUAAUACUGACACUGAGGUGCGAAAGCAUGGGGAGCAAACA